UUGGAAAGUUAAAAAUCGUAACAAGGUCUCCGUUGGUGAACCAGCGGAGGGAUCAUUAUAGAGUUUUCUAAACUCCCAACCCAUGUGAACUUACCUUUUGUUGCCUCGGCAGGAGUUAUAGGUCUUCUUAUAGCUGCUGCCGGUGGACCAUUAAACUCUUGUUAUUUUAUGUAAUCUGAGCGUCUUAUUUUAAUAAGUCAAAACUUUCAACAACGGAUCUCUUGGUUCUGGCAUCGAUGAAGAACGCAGCGAAAUGCGAUAAGUAAUGUGAAUUGCAGAAUUCAGUGAAUCAUCGAAUCUUUGAACGCACAUUGCGCCCAUUAGUAUUCUAGUGGGCAUGCCUGUUCGAGCGUCAUUUCAACCCUUAAGCCUAGCUUAGUGUUGGGAAUCUACUUCUUUAUAGUUGUAGUUCCUGAAAUACAACGGCGGAUUUGUAGUAUCCUCUGAGCGUAGUAAUUUUUUUCUCGCUUUUGUUAGGUGCUAUAACUCCCAGCCGCUAAACCCCCAAUUUUUUGUGGUUGACCUCGGAUCAGGUAGGAAUACCCGCUGAACUUAAGCAUAUCAAAGCCGGGAGGAAA
This 578-nucleotide ribosomal RNA is filed under the name Pestalotiopsis sp. P3.6. RNAcentral's name for it is "eukaryotic LSU rRNA". The stretch from base 202 to 355 matches the Rfam family "5.8S ribosomal RNA". The record is from RNAcentral. Lineage: Eukaryota; Fungi; Ascomycota; Sordariomycetes; Amphisphaeriales; Sporocadaceae.